This 146-nucleotide small nucleolar RNA is filed under the name Plasmodium gonderi. Its description in RNAcentral is "small nucleolar RNA snoR27". It matches the Rfam family "small nucleolar RNA snoR27". The record is from Rfam by way of RNAcentral. Lineage: Eukaryota; Apicomplexa; Aconoidasida; Haemosporida; Plasmodiidae.
UGUGCUGGUUUAGCCACAGUGACACAUUUGACUUAAAAAUUUUGUGCAGACUGCUAGAAAUCAGCUAUAUUAAUCUCAUAAUUUUAGGAACCAUUGAUAAAAUUCGUUAAAAUUUUUCUUAGUGGGCCGUAUUUAUGAAUACAAUU